UCCGGUUUGACACCGGCAGUCUCCCAUGAGUCCUCAGCCGAACUGUUAGCAACAUGGGAUAGGGGUUGCGCUCGUUGCGGGGCUUAACCCAACAUCUCACGACACGAGCUGAGGACAGCCAUGCACCACCUGUGUAGGACCCCGAAGGACACCAUAUCUCUAUGGUUUUUCCCUACAUGUCAAACCCAGGUAAGGUUCUUCGCGUUGCAUCGAAUUAAGCCACAUGCUCCGCCGCUUGUGCGGGUCCCCGUCAAUUCCUUUGAGUUUUAACCUUGCGGCCGUACUCCCCAGGCGGUCGACUUCACGCGUUAGCUUCGUUACUGAGAGUGUCAAACCCCCAACAACCAGUCGACAUCGUUUAGGGCGUGGACUAC
RNAcentral lists this unclassified non-coding RNA (374 nucleotides) under uncultured bacterium. Its description in RNAcentral is "contains 16S-23S intergenic spacer region". The record is from RNAcentral.